UACAGAGGUCCCAAGCGUUGUUCGGAUUUACUGGGCGUAAAGGGUGCGUAGGCGGUCGGGUAAGUCUGAUGUGAAAUCUCAGAGCUCAACUCUGAAACUGCAUUGGAUACUAUUCGGCUUGGGGUCUGGAGGGGGGACUGGAAUUCUCGGUGUAGCAGUGAAAUGCGUAGAUAUCGAGAGGAACACCAGUGGCGAAGGCGAGUCCCUGGACAACACCUGACACUGAGGCACGAAAGCUAGGGGAGCAAACAGG
RNAcentral lists this ribosomal RNA (253 nucleotides) under uncultured bacterium. Its description in RNAcentral is "partial 16S ribosomal RNA". It matches the Rfam family "Bacterial small subunit ribosomal RNA", at positions 524 to 776 of the family's 1533-position model. The record is from RNAcentral.